UACGUAGGGUGCAAGCGUUAUCCGGAAUUAUUGGGCGUAAAGAGCUCGUAGGCGGUUUGUCGCGUCUGCUGUGAAAACUGGAGGCUCAACCUCGGGCCUGCAGCCGAUACGGGCAGACUAGAGUUCGGCAGGGGAGACUGGAAUUCCUGGUGUAGCGGUGAAAUGCGCAGAUAUCAGGAGGAACACCGGUGGCGAAGGCGGGUCUCUGGGCCGAUACUGACGCUGAGGAGCGAAAGCGUGGGGAGCGAACAGG
RNAcentral lists this ribosomal RNA (253 nucleotides) under uncultured bacterium. RNAcentral's name for it is "partial 16S ribosomal RNA". It matches the Rfam family "Bacterial small subunit ribosomal RNA", at positions 524 to 776 of the family's 1533-position model. The record is from RNAcentral.